GACGAACGCUGGCGGCGUGCUUAACACAUGCAAGUCGAACGGACGGGCCCUGCUUUUGUGGGGUGCUCGAGUGGCGCACGGGUGAGUAACACGUGAGUAACCUGCCCUUGACUUUGGGAUAACUUCAGGAAACUGCGGCUCAUACCGGGUAGGAGCUCCUGCUGCAUGGUGGGGGUUGGAAAGUUUCGGCGGUUGGGGAUCGACUCGCGGCUUAUCCGCUUGUUUGUGUGGUAGUGGCUUACCAAGGCUUUGACGGGUAGCCGGCCUGAGAGGGUGACCGGCGACAUUGGGACUGAGAGACGGCCCAGACUCCUACGGGAGGCAGCAGUGGGGAAUAUUGCGCAAUGGGCGGAAGCCUGAUGCAGCAACGCCGCGUGCGGGAUGACGGCCUUCGGGGUGUAAACCGCUUUCGCCUGUGACGAAGCGUGAGUGACGGUAAUGGGUAAAGAAGCACCGGCUAACUACGUG
This 468-nucleotide ribosomal RNA is filed under the name uncultured bacterium. RNAcentral's name for it is "partial 16S ribosomal RNA". It matches the Rfam family "Bacterial small subunit ribosomal RNA", at positions 28 to 507 of the family's 1533-position model. The record is from RNAcentral.